GACGAACGCUGGCGGCGUGCCUAAUACAUGCAAGUUGAGCGCUGAAGGUUGGUACUUGUACCAACUGGAUGAGCAGCGAACGGGUGAGUAACGCGUGGGGAAUCUGCCUUUGAGCGGGGGACAACAUUUGGAAACGAAUGCUAAUACCGCAUAAAAACUUUAAACACAAGUUUUAAGUUUGAAAGAUGCAAUUGCAUCACUCAAAGAUGAUCCCGCGUUGUAUUAGCUAGUUGGUGAGGUAAAGGCUCACCAAGGCGAUGAUACAUAGCCGACCUGAGAGGAUUAUCGGCCACAUUGGGACUGAGACACAGCCCAAACUCCUACGGGAGGCAUCAGUAGGGAAUCUUCGGCAAUUGACGAAAGUCUGACCGAGCAACGCCGCGUGAGUGAAGAAGGUUUUCGGAUCGUAAAACUCUGUUGGUAGAGAAGAACGUUGGUGAGAGUGGAAAGCUCAUCAAGUGACGGUAACUACCCAGAAAGGGACGGCUAACUACGUG
Molecule: ribosomal RNA, 497 nt
Filed under: uncultured bacterium
Lineage: Bacteria
Description: partial 16S ribosomal RNA
Rfam family: Bacterial small subunit ribosomal RNA
Source: RNAcentral